Molecule: ribosomal RNA, 361 nt
Filed under: uncultured bacterium
Lineage: Bacteria
Description: bacterial SSU rRNA
Rfam family: Bacterial small subunit ribosomal RNA
Source: RNAcentral
AGAGUUUGAUCCUGGCUCAGAACGAACGCUGGCGGCGUGCUUAACACAUGCAAGUCGAACGGGAAACCUUUUAUUGAAGCUUCGGCAGAUUUAGAUUGUUUCUAGUGGCGGACGGGUGAGUAACGCGUGGGUAACCUGCCUUAUACAGGGGGAUAACAGUCAGAAAUGACUGCUAAUACCGCAUAAGCGCACAGAGCUGCAUGGCUCGGUGUGAAAAACUCCGGUGGUAUAAGAUGGACCCGCGUUGGAUUAGCUGGUUGGUGAGGUAACGGCCCACCAAGGCGACGAUCCAUAGCCGGCCUGAGAGGGUGAACGGCCACACUGGAACUGAGACACGGCCCAGACUCCUACGGGAGGCAGC